Long non-coding RNA from Nicotiana tabacum (common tobacco), 519 nucleotides. RefSeq lists it as uncharacterized. The record is from RefSeq and is a predicted model, not a curated record. NCBI's taxonomy places the organism in Eukaryota, Viridiplantae, Streptophyta, Magnoliopsida, Solanales, Solanaceae.
CCUUAUUCCCCGUUUGGUCCUUUUCUAUUUAAAGUCCCUCUAUAAACAAUCAUAAACAUUUCUGUUCUCUUGUUUUCAAGCAUUAACAUACUGUCCAACGUAGUUUUUAUUUUUGGAAAGCCAAAGGAUGUUUGAAUUAUUUGUGCUAGGAUGUACUGGUGUUGUGAUGUUCCUUCAUGGAGCCAAUUUCUUCUUCCAUGGCCUCUCUCAUCAUAUGGCCAUUCGUUCUCUCAGCUUCUUAGGAUUUGUUGGUUGGUAAAGAAAUGUCGAGAAUGAUGAGCUAAAGGAAGCUUACACGAACCGCCAUGCUUUUUGUAAAUUAUAUUGGUUUAACUAAUUGUUUCUUUUCAUUUUCAUUUUAAGGCAGAGAUUAUUAUAUUGUUGUGGUCCACAAUAGAAAAUGAUAGAUAAGGGAAUAUAUCCUGUAAAUUUUAAUCAUUGAAAGGCUUCGCCUUGCUUGAAGUGUACUCUGCCUAUUAGAUAAAAUAUUUGUCUUUUUAAUAUUUUGAUUGAUGUUUA